Molecule: ribosomal RNA, 579 nt
Filed under: Penicillium shearii
Lineage: Eukaryota; Fungi; Ascomycota; Eurotiomycetes; Eurotiales; Aspergillaceae
Description: partial 18S ribosomal RNA
Rfam family: 5.8S ribosomal RNA (bases 232-385)
Source: RNAcentral
UUUGGUAAGUAAAAAUCGUAACAAGGUUUCCGUAGGUGAACCUGCGGAAGGAUCAUUACUGAGUGAGGGCCCUCUGGGUCCAACCUCCCACCCGUGUUUAACGAACCUUGUUGCUUCGGCGGGCCCGCCUCACGGCCGCCGGGGGGCAUCCGCCCCCGGGCCCGCGCCCGCCGAAGACACCUGUGAACUCUGUCUGAAGUUGCAGUCUGAGAAACUAUUUAAAUUAGUUAAAACUUUCAACAACGGAUCUCUUGGUUCCGGCAUCGAUGAAGAACGCAGCGAAAUGCGAUAAAUAAUGUGAAUUGCAGAAUUCAGUGAAUCAUCGAGUCUUUGAACGCACAUUGCGCCCUCUGGUAUUCCGGAGGGCAUGCCUGUCCGAGCGUCAUUGCUGCCCUCAAGCACGGCUUGUGUGUUGGGCCCCGUCCCCCCCCUCCCGGGGGGACGGGCCCGAAAGGCAGCGGCGGCACCGCGUCCGGUCCUCGAGCGUAUGGGGCUUUGUCACCCGCUCUUGUAGGCCCGGCCGGCGCUUGCCGACCCCCUCAAUCUAUUUUUCAGGUUGACCUCGGAUCAGGUGAGACC